Molecule: non-coding RNA, 29 nt
Filed under: Rattus norvegicus (Norway rat)
Lineage: Eukaryota; Metazoa; Chordata; Mammalia; Rodentia; Muridae
Source: RNAcentral
UUACUUUACAGUUUCAAAGUCAGAGGAGC